GACGAACGCUGGCGGCGUGCUUAACACAUGCAAGUCGAACGGAAAGGCCCUGCUUUUGUGGGGUGCUCGAGUGGCGAACGGGUGAGUAACACGUGAGUAACUUGCCCUUGACUUUGGGAUAACUUCAGGAAACUGGGGCUAAUACCGGAUAGGAGCUCCUGCUGCAUGGUGGGGGUUGGAAAGUUUCGGCGGUUGGGGAUGGACUCGCGGCUUAUCAGCUUGUUGGUGGGGUAGUGGCUUACCAAGGCUUUGACGGGUAGCCGGCCUGGGAGGGUGACCGGCCACAUUGGGACUGAGAUACGGCCCAGACUCCUACGGGAGGCAGCAGUGGGGAAUAUUGCACAAUGGGCGGAAGCCUGAUGCAGCAACGCCGCGUGCGGGAUGACGGCCUUCGGGUUGUAAACCGCUUUCGCCUGUGACGAAGCGUGAGUGACGGUAAUGGGUAAAGAAGCACCGGCUAACUACGUG
RNAcentral lists this ribosomal RNA (468 nucleotides) under uncultured bacterium. RNAcentral's name for it is "partial 16S ribosomal RNA". It matches the Rfam family "Bacterial small subunit ribosomal RNA", at positions 28 to 507 of the family's 1533-position model. The record is from RNAcentral.